Molecule: ribosomal RNA, 361 nt
Filed under: uncultured Nitrosococcus sp.
Lineage: Bacteria; Pseudomonadati; Pseudomonadota; Gammaproteobacteria; Chromatiales; Chromatiaceae
Description: bacterial SSU rRNA
Rfam family: Bacterial small subunit ribosomal RNA
Source: RNAcentral
UUAGCUAGUUGGUAAGGUAAUGGCUUACCAAGGCAACGAUCAGUAGUUGGUCUGAGAGGACGACCAGCCACACUGGGACUGAGACACGGCCCAGACUCCUACGGGAGGCAGCAGUGGGGAAUUUUGGACAAUGGGCGAAAGCCUGAUCCAGCCAUGCCGCGUGAGUGAAGAAGGCCUUCGGGUUGUAAAGCUCUUUCAGUCGGAAAGAAACGAUUGCAACUAAUAAUUGUAAUUAAUGACGGUACCGACAGAAGAAGCACCGGCUAACUACGUGCCAGCAGCCGCGGUAAUACGUAGGGUGCGAGCGUUAAUCGGAAUUACUGGGCGUAAAGGGUGCGCAGGCGGUUCUGUAAGUCAGAUG